AUACGUAGGUGGCAAGCGUUAUCCGGAUUUACUGGGUGUAAAGGGCGCGUAGGCGGGGGUGCAAGCCAGAUGUGAAAUCCUCGGGCUCAACUCGAGAACUGCAUUCAAAACUGUUGCUCUUGAGUGCAGUAGAGGCAAGCGGAAUUCCCGGUGUAGCGGUGAAAUGCGCAGAGAUCGGGAGGAACACCAGUGGCGAAGGCGGCUUGCUGGGCUGUUACUGACGCUGAGGCACGAAAGCAUGGGUAGCAAACAGGAUUAGAUACCCUGGUAGUCCAUGCUGUAAACGAUGAUUACUAGGUGUGGGUGGACUGACCCCAUCCGUGCCGGAGUUAACACAUUAAGUAAUCCACCUGGGGAGUACGGCCGCAAGGUUGAAACUCAAAUGAAUUGGCGGGG
This 396-nucleotide ribosomal RNA is filed under the name uncultured bacterium. RNAcentral describes it as "partial 16S ribosomal RNA". It matches the Rfam family "Bacterial small subunit ribosomal RNA", at positions 523 to 918 of the family's 1533-position model. The record is from RNAcentral.